Molecule: ribosomal RNA, 434 nt
Filed under: uncultured bacterium
Lineage: Bacteria
Description: partial 16S ribosomal RNA
Rfam family: Bacterial small subunit ribosomal RNA
Source: RNAcentral
AGCGAACGCUGGCGGCAGGCCUAACACAUGCAAGUCGAACGAACCUUUCGGGGUUAGUGGCUGACGGGUGAGUAACACGUGGGAACGUGCCUUUAGGUUCGGAAUAACUCAGGGAAACUUGUGCUAAUACCGAAUGUGCCCUUCGGGGGAAAGAUUAAUCGCCUUUAGAGCGGCCCGCGUCUGAUUAGCUAGUUGGUUGAGGUAAUGGCUCACCAAGGCGACGAUCAGUAGCUGGUCUGAGAGGAUGAUCAGCCACAUUGGGACUGAGACACGGCACAAACUCCUACGGGAGGAAGCAGUGGGGAAUCUUGAGGAAUGGGCGAAAGCCUGACGCAGCCAUGCCGCGUGAAUGAUGAAGGUCUUAGGAUUGUAAAAUUCUUUCACCGGGGACGAUAAUGACGGUACCCGGAGAAGAAGCCCCGGCUAACUUCGUG